Molecule: ribosomal RNA, 433 nt
Filed under: uncultured bacterium
Lineage: Bacteria
Description: partial 16S ribosomal RNA
Rfam family: Bacterial small subunit ribosomal RNA
Source: RNAcentral
AACGAACGCUGGCGGCAUGCCUAACACAUGCAAGUCGAACGACGCCUCCGGGCAUAGUUGCUCUCGCGUGCGUAACGCGUCGGACUCGGCCGUUCGGCUCCGAAUUAUACAUGUUAAUUUGGGCUAACACCGGAUAACUUCCCAUGACCAAACAUACAUCCUACAAGGAUGAGCGCGCGAGGGAUUAGCCAGUUGGUGUGGUAUAGGCCCAUCAAGGCGUCGAUACUUAGCUGGUUUGAGAGCAUCCUCAGCGACACUGGGUAGGAGAAACGGCCGGGACUCCUGCGGGAGGCGGGAGUGGGGGAUAUUGGACUAUGGGGGAGGGCCUGAUCCAGCAAUGCCGCGUGAGUGAUGAAGGCCUUAGGGAUGUAAAGCUGUUUUACCCGGGAAGAUACUGACGGUACCGGGAGAAUAAGCCCCGGCUAACUCCGUG